GUAACUCAUAUGGCUCUUCUGACUUUGGGUGGGACGAUGAGACCAUGACCUCAGAUUACACUUCAGUCUUUGCUCCCAAUAAUGCUGUGCCAGCAUAUGCCGAUCCUGCGUGCCUGCAAGGUGAAGUGUCAAAGAGAAUGAGGAACACCUAUGGUUUAGCUGUGCCUCAGGGAAAUGGCGCACCCAAUCUCGCACAAGACAUGUCCGGUUUUAAUCCUGAGAUGAACUAUUUGCCAUUGUCUUAUGUUGAGAGCAGCCCGGACACAUCAAUGGACAGCCUUCUGCAAAAUGAUGCUCCACAGGACGGGGCUAGCACUGGGGAUCUCUGGAGC
RNAcentral lists this long non-coding RNA (332 nucleotides) under Setaria italica (foxtail millet). RNAcentral's name for it is "long non-coding RNA (SITA_LNC001390)". The record is from RNAcentral. Lineage: Eukaryota; Viridiplantae; Streptophyta; Magnoliopsida; Poales; Poaceae.